Molecule: long non-coding RNA, 229 nt
Filed under: Setaria italica (foxtail millet)
Lineage: Eukaryota; Viridiplantae; Streptophyta; Magnoliopsida; Poales; Poaceae
Description: long non-coding RNA (SITA_LNC000449)
Source: RNAcentral
CGGAAGAUGUGUUUUUUGUUUAAUAGUCAUAAUUUGUAGUUCUUUGCAAUUAACAGUAAAUCUAACAAUAUAAUAAACUGAAGAUUUAGGAUAUGGCGACCUACCUGUUUCCCGCCGGACGGUGACCUACCCGUUGACCCUAAGGCGGCGUCGGAUCCCAAGUUCACCGGAAGGCGGCGCUUGAUCUCGGUGCGGCGGAAGAGCGGCGGCCAGCACAGGAGCUCGGGGC